CCUACGGGAGGCAGCAGUAAGGAAUAUUGGUCAAUGGGCGCAAGCCUGAACCAGCCAUGCCGCGUGCAGGAAGACGGCCCUAUGGGUUGUAAACUGCUUUUGAACAAGAGAAAACCUCGGUACGUGUACCGAGCUGAUAGUAUUGUUAGAAUAAGCAUCGGCUAACUUCGUGCCAGCAGCCGCGGUAAGACGAAGGAUGCAAGCGUUAUCCGGAUUCAUUGGGUUUAAAGGGUGCGUAGGCGGCCUGAUAAGUCAGUGGUGAAAUCUCUCAGCUUAACUGAGAAACUGCCAUUGAUACUGUCGGGCUUGAGUACAGAUGAUGUGGGCGGAAUAUGACAUGUAGUGGUGAAAUACUUAGAUAUGUCAUAGAACACCGAUUGCGAAGGCAGCUCACAAAACUGUAACUGACGCUGAGGCACGAAAGUGCGGGGAUCAAACAGGAUUAGAUACCCUGGUAGUCCGCACCGUAAACGAUGAUUACUCGUUGUUGGCAAUAUGACCGUCAGCGACCAAAGCGAAAAGCGAAUAAGUAAAUUCCACCUGGGGAGUUACGCCGGCAACGGUUGAAACUUCAAANAGAGUUAGAGGNGNGAGAGNGCGACGGACGACACAGGAGAGG
Molecule: ribosomal RNA, 619 nt
Filed under: uncultured bacterium
Lineage: Bacteria
Description: bacterial SSU rRNA
Rfam family: Bacterial small subunit ribosomal RNA
Source: RNAcentral